CAGGCCUAACACAUGCAAGUCGAGCGGACCUUUCGGGGUCAGCGGCGGACGGGUGAGUAACGCGUGGGAACGUGCCUUCUGGUUCGGAAUAACCCUGGGAAACUAGGGCUAAUACCGGAUACGCCCUUAUGGGGAAAGGUUUACUGCCGGAAGAUCGGCCCGCGUCUGAUUAGCUAGUUGGUGGGGUAACGGCCUACCAAGGCGACGAUCAGUAGCUGGUCUGAGAGGAUGAUCAGCCACACUGGGACUGAGACACGGCCCAGACUCCUACGGGAGGCAGCAGUGGGGAAUAUUGGACAAUGGGCGCAAGCCUGAUCCAGCCAUGCCGCGUGAGUGAUGAAGGCCUUAGGGUUGUAAAGCUCUUUUAUACCGGGACGAUAAUGACGUGA
RNAcentral lists this ribosomal RNA (389 nucleotides) under uncultured bacterium. RNAcentral's name for it is "bacterial SSU rRNA". It matches the Rfam family "Bacterial small subunit ribosomal RNA", at positions 43 to 459 of the family's 1533-position model. The record is from RNAcentral.